RNAcentral lists this transfer RNA (74 nucleotides) under Pollicipes pollicipes. Its description in RNAcentral is "tRNA-Ile". It matches the Rfam family "tRNA". From Rfam's summary of the family: Transfer RNA (tRNA) molecules are approximately 80 nucleotides in length. The record is from RNAcentral. Lineage: Eukaryota; Metazoa; Arthropoda; Thecostraca; Pollicipedomorpha; Pollicipedidae.
GGCCGGUUAGCUCAGUUGGUCGGAGCGUCGUGCUAAUAACGCGAAUGUCAUGGGUUCGACCCCCGUACCGGCCA